GUAUUGUAUUGCGUUAAACGCGGCACACAUUCCAUAAGACUUUGCUACGUUGUAUGUGUAAAGACGCAGAACUACAGGAGGAAGACGGCAUGUCCCCCAGACCAUAGAACUACGGAGUGUGCACAGGUGUGAGUGGAUGUGUUAACAGAGCGUGCACAUGCCCCCCGUUUGAGGGGGCCAGCAACAACUCGUGUCGACGACUCGGUAAUGAUCCUUCCGCAGGUUCACCUACGGAAA
Molecule: unclassified non-coding RNA, 237 nt
Filed under: uncultured fungus
Lineage: Eukaryota; Fungi
Description: sequence contains ITS1
Source: RNAcentral